GAUGAACGCUGGCGGCGUGCCUAAUACAUGCAAGUCGAGCGAACAGACGAGGAGCUUGCUCCUCUGACGUUAGCGGCGGACGGGUGAGUAACACGUGGAUAACCUACCUAUAAGACUGGGAUAACUUCGGGAAACCGGAGCUAAUACCGGAUAAUAUAUUGAACCGCAUGGUUCAAUAGUGAAAGACGGUUUUGCUGUCACUUAUAGAUGGAUCCGCGCCGCAUUAGCUAGUUGGUAAGGUAACGGCUUACCAAGGCAACGAUGCGUAGCCGACCUGAGAGGGUGAUCCGCCACACUGGAACUGAGACACGGUCCAGACUCCUAAGGGAGGCAGCAGUAGGGAAUCUUCCGCAAUGGGCGAAAGCCUGACGGAGCAAAGGCGCGUGAGUGAAGAAGGUCUUCGGAUCGUAAAACUCUGUUAUUAGGGAAGAACAAAUGUGUAAGUAACUAUGCACGUCUUGACGGUACCUAAUCAGAAAGCCACGGCUAACUACGUG
Molecule: ribosomal RNA, 497 nt
Filed under: uncultured bacterium
Lineage: Bacteria
Description: partial 16S ribosomal RNA
Rfam family: Bacterial small subunit ribosomal RNA
Source: RNAcentral